RNAcentral lists this ribosomal RNA (482 nucleotides) under uncultured bacterium. RNAcentral describes it as "partial 16S ribosomal RNA". It matches the Rfam family "Bacterial small subunit ribosomal RNA", at positions 28 to 523 of the family's 1533-position model. The record is from RNAcentral.
GACGAACGCUGGCGGCGUGCUUAACACAUGCAAGUCGAACGAUGAAGAAGAGCUUGCUCUUCGGAUUAGUGGCGAACGGGUGAGUAACACGUGACUAACCUGCCCCUUUCUCUGGGAUAACGCUCCGAAAGGAGUGCUAAUACCGGAUACUCACAUCGAGGCCCAUGCAUUGAUGUGGAACGUUUUUCGGCGAGGGAUGGAGUCGCGGCCUAUCUGCUUGUUGGGGAGGGAACGGCUCACCAAGGCGACGACGGGUAGCCGGCCUGAGAGGGGGACCGGCCACACUGGGACUGAGACACGGCCCAGACUGCUACGGGAUGUAGCAGUGGGGAAUAUUGCACAAUGGGCGAAAGCCUGAUGCAGCGACGCCGCGUGAGGGAUGAAGGUCUUCGGAUUGUAAACCUCUUUCAGGAGGGACGAAGCGAAAGUGACGGUACCUAAAGAAGAAGCACCGGCUAACUACGUGCCAGCCGCCGCCGUAA